AUUGAACGCUGGCGGCAGGCCUAACACAUGCAAGUCGAACGGUAACAGGAAGCAGCUUGCUGCUUUGCUGACGAGUGGCGGACGGGUGAGUAAUGUCUGGGAAACUGCCUGAUGGAGGGGGAUAACUACUGGAAACGGUAGCUAAUACCGCAUAACGUCGCAAGACCAAAGAGGGGGACCUUCGGGCCUCUUGCCAUCGGAUGUGCCCAGAUGGGAUUAGCUAGUAGGUGGGGUAACGGCUCACCUAGGCGACGAUCCCUAGCUGGUCUGAGAGGAUGACCAGCCACACUGGAACUGAGACACGGUCCAGACUCCUACGGGAGGCAGCAGUGGGGAAUAUUGCACAAUGGGCGCAAGCCUGAUGCAGCCAUGCCGCGUGUAUGAAGAAGGCCUUCGGGUUGUAAAGUACUUUCAGCGGGGAGGAAGGGAGUUAAGUUAAUACCUUUGCUCAUUGACGUUACCCGCAGAAGAAGCACCGGCUAACUCCGUG
RNAcentral lists this ribosomal RNA (490 nucleotides) under uncultured bacterium. RNAcentral's name for it is "partial 16S ribosomal RNA". It matches the Rfam family "Bacterial small subunit ribosomal RNA", at positions 30 to 507 of the family's 1533-position model. The record is from RNAcentral.